UCCUUCGGGNGNNCAUUAAUGGCGAACGGGUGAGUAACACGUGGGCAAUCUGCCCUUCACUCUGGGACAAGCCCUGGAAACGGGGUCUAAUACCGGAUACGACCUCCGACCGCAUGGUCUGGUGGUGGAAAGCUCCGGCGGUGAAGGAUGAGCCCGCGGCCUAUCAGCUUGUUGGUGGGGUGAUGGCCUACCAAGGCGACGACGGGUAGCCGGCCUGAGAGGGCGACCGGCCACACUGGGACUGAGACACGGCCCAGACUCCUACGGGAGGCAGCAGUGGGGAAUAUUGCACAAUGGGCGAAAGCCUGAUGCAGCGACGCCGCGUGAGGGAUGACGGCCUUCGGGUUGUAAACCUCUUUCAGCAGGGAAGAAGCGAGAGUGACGGUACCUGCAGAAGAAGCGCCGGCUAACUACGUGCCAGCAGCCGCGGUAAUACGUAGGGCGCAAGCGUUGUCCGGAAUUAUUGGGCGUAAAGAGCUCGUAGGCGGCUUGUCACGUCGGAUGUGAAAGCCCGGGGCUUAACCCCGGGU
Molecule: ribosomal RNA, 530 nt
Filed under: Streptomyces sp. LK2333.2
Lineage: Bacteria; Bacillati; Actinomycetota; Actinomycetes; Kitasatosporales; Streptomycetaceae
Description: bacterial SSU rRNA
Rfam family: Bacterial small subunit ribosomal RNA
Source: RNAcentral